AUGGCCGCCCCGACGGCCUUCGCUGCCGCCAGGUUCCUCCCGUCCGCUCACCUCGACUCCUCCGCGCGCCUCGCCCCGCUCCGGGCCGCCCCGACCUCAAACCUCGCCUUCUCGCCGCUGCCCGCCUCCUCCUCCGCGCUCCUCGCCCUCCGCUCAGCUUCCCCGUCCCCGUCCGGGCCGGGAGGGAGGCUGCCCCCGCCCCCGCCCCCGCGCUCCUACGGCGGCGGCGGCGGAGGAUCUGGCGACGCAGCGGACUCCGGGGGCGCCGGAGACGGCGCCGGCGGCCGCGCAGGCAUCCUCGGUAUGUUCCUCGCCGGGUGGGCGGCCCGCGUGGCCGCGGAUCCCCAGUUCCCGUUCAAGGUGCUCAUGGAGGAGCUGGUCGGCGUCACCGCCUGCGUGCUCGGCGACAUGUCGUCGCGCCCCAACUUCGGCCUCAACGAGCUCGACUUCGUCUUCUCCACCCUCGUCGUCGGAUCCAUCCUCAACUUCGUGCUCAUGUACAUGCUCGCCCCCACCGCCGGGGUCUCGGCCGCAGCGGCGGCCGCCGUCUCCUCCCUCCCCAGCCACAUGUUCGAGCCGGGUCCUUAUUCGCUCGGCUCCCGCUUUGCGACCCUUUUGUCCAAGGGCACUACGUUCGCGGUGGUGGGGUUCGGUGCCGGGCUCAUGGGCACCGCCAUCUCCAACGGUCUCAUCGCCAUGAGGAAGCGCAUGGACCCGGCCUUCGAGACCCCAAACAAGGCGCCUCCCACGCUGCUCAACGCAGGCACCUGGGCGCUCCACAUGGGCAUCAGCAGCAACCUGCGAUACCAGACCCUGAAUGGGGUCGAGUUCCUUCUUGGCAAUGUCAUGCCACCCCCAGUCUUCAAGGUGGCUGUGAUCGCACUUCGUUGCAUGAACAACGUGCUUGGUGGGAUGUCCUUUGUGUUGCUCGCAAGGCUCACCGGUGCGCAGAAAUCAGAUAAGCCGGCAUCUUCUGAUUCAGAAGCCAAGGAGAGAUUGAUAGCUGAGGGCGAUGCCAUUGCCGCUAAUGUUAGCACUGAGGACAAGUGA
Molecule: ribosomal RNA, 1050 nt
Filed under: Triticum aestivum (bread wheat)
Lineage: Eukaryota; Viridiplantae; Streptophyta; Magnoliopsida; Poales; Poaceae
Description: partial small subunit ribosomal RNA
Source: RNAcentral